Gymnodraco acuticeps is the source of this 780-nucleotide long non-coding RNA. RefSeq lists it as uncharacterized. Lineage: Eukaryota; Metazoa; Chordata; Actinopteri; Perciformes; Bathydraconidae. The record is from RefSeq and is a predicted model, not a curated record. The transcript has 2 exons.
UCUGUGCUCAAAAAUGUUCAAGUGCGCGCUCAAUAGCAUUUUCUAUGCUCAACAUGUUUCAUUGCAUGCUCAGGAUAGAGGCACAAAUAUAACGCCAUACAAAACCAGCCUGUGCACACACCAGAGAUGGAGUACUCGAGUGCUGAUUUUCGGGACUCGUGACUUGACUCGGACUCGCGCACUGAUUGACGCGACUCGGACUCGGACUCAUGAAUUCUCACGCACGAUGACUUGGACUUGGAUUCGGACUCGAACACAGGUAAUGAUGACUCGUACUCGGACUCGGCUCGGACACUCCUUGGAUGACUCGGACUUGGACUCGAGCAAGUUUUCUCUGUAGUCUGAUGACCUCUGUGUCCUGGCGUGUGCACCUGCGAGGCGAGUUCACGUACUGGGCGCGCCCCCGCUGCUAUACCAGUCUAAAGAUGUCCAGAGACACACCCCGCAUCGUGCUGUAUGCUUUUAAAGAUUUUGUUUCCAUAUUGGGAAAGAGCAGCGCAAAAUGCACAUUAUGUGGACAGAAGAUAGAAGAGAAGACUGGGACAACGUCGAAUUUCAAUCGACACCUUUCACGGCGGCACCCAGAAAAGAAUCGUCUGGGGGCCCGUAAUCAGCCCAAGCAGAUCAUGCCGGAGAUGGUACCCCCACUCUGAGUCUCCCUCUGCACGAACCACAGCACGUCCCGCCAGACCAGAACAUCUAAUCAUCCAUAUCAUAUGAAUUGAUAUGGAGGGCCAUAUCAAUUCAUUGUUACUUCUUGCAAUAAACCUACAAACAUCA